RNAcentral lists this long non-coding RNA (247 nucleotides) under Linum usitatissimum (flax). Its description in RNAcentral is "long non-coding RNA (LUSI_LNC001262)". Lineage: Eukaryota; Viridiplantae; Streptophyta; Magnoliopsida; Malpighiales; Linaceae. The record is from RNAcentral.
AAUCUUUCAGUCUUGAAGUUUUACUGAACAGUGAAGUACUCCCAGUUCUAUGCUUAGUAACUCUGUAUGUAGUAUGUCGGGUAAAUCUGUUUCAAAAUGCGAGGUAUAUUUACAAAUAGACUGCUGUGUGCUGUUACCCUGCUUGGUAUUUUUGUCAGAUCGAAAAAUUCGUCCUAGCAUAUAACCCUGUAGCUUUAUGUCCUGCAAGUAAUGGUUCCAGUCCUGAUGCUAAGUGUUCACAUCAGCC